This 439-nucleotide ribosomal RNA is filed under the name Vuilleminia cystidiata. RNAcentral's name for it is "eukaryotic LSU rRNA". The stretch from base 73 to 226 matches the Rfam family "5.8S ribosomal RNA". The record is from RNAcentral. Lineage: Eukaryota; Fungi; Basidiomycota; Agaricomycetes; Corticiales; Vuilleminiaceae.
AAACACCUUGGCCUACGUCUUCACACAAACAAUAUGUAUCAGAAUGUAACACCGCGUCUAACGCAAUAAUACAACUUUCAACAACGGAUCUCUUGGCUCUCGCAUCGAUGAAGAACGCAGCGAAAUGCGAUAAGUAAUGUGAAUUGCAGAAUUCAGUGAAUCAUCGAAUCUUUGAACGCACCUUGCGCUCCUUGGUAUUCCGAGGAGCAUGCCUGUUUGAGCGUCGUGAAUCUCUCAACCCACAAAUUGUUUGUUCAGUUUGUGCGGCUUGGACUUGGAGGCAUUGCUGGCGAUGGUCAGCUCCUCUCAAAUGUAUUAGCUGGGCUUAGCUCGGUGGAACGGUUAGUGUGAUAAUUAUCUGCGCUGCCUACUACAUCGGAUCCCGCUUCUAAUCGUCCGCAAGGACAAUUCACUUUGAAUCUGACCUCAAAUCAGGUAG